UUUUUUUUUUUUUUUUUUGCAAAUGCUUCUCUGACUUUACCCGAACGGGACCUUGUGGCUUGAGUGCACUUACACGCCUCUAUUUCAAUGAUGCUGUUCCCAUGCAUGGCUGGUUAUCAAGCACUUUUCUCAAGUAAUAAGAAACAUUUUCCAGUGCUAUUUCUUUCCUUGCUUGUGAGUUUCUGACAAAUUUCUUAAAAGCUUUCCAUUGUGGAUGUGUGAGAUGAGAGGACAUUUGAUGGCAAUAAGAUGGAGGCAUCUUGGAAGAAUUUUAGUUAAACAGUUUGGAUGUUACUUUCUAGAUCUUUGACUAAAAAUGUUAUGAAUUGAAUGAGUUUGAGGAUAGGAAGCCUAAUAUAAUAACAACUUGUGGUGCAUAGACUCUAAGUGUUAACUGUGGCAAGCUUUGAAAGAAAGAUUGGAAGGGUUUAGGGAGUGGUAUCUGGGUGUGGUUGCAAGAGAAAGUGUGGACAUUAACAGACGCGAUUAGGGGUAGUGCGAGACAAAAACUACUCCAGGCAAUAGGAAAAAGUCAGCCACUUCAGUUAUGCAGACAGAAAGCUCACUGACCAGUGUCAAAUAAAAAGGAAAUUUGGACUGAAGGAAGAAGAUACUUUAUUUGAAAGGAUUAUUACAAGAGUGGUGAAAGGGAUGAUUAUAGGUGUAGGAAGAUAAUAGGGAGAUAGCUUCCACUAUGAGAUCUGGUAGGUCUCAAAAGUUAAGCAAAAGACAGAUUUUCUUUUACAGGGAGAGGUAAACAUGGCUGGAAUUCACCAAGUUUGGGGAGGUGGGUGAAGAAUGGUGGUAUGAUCAGACAGCAGAGAAGAGAAUGUUUUAUUCUGAAAUCAGCUUAUUCUCCAGAGGUUGUGUGUAAAGUUCAGCAGUCUAAGGGGAAGGAGAGAAUUUUGCAUUUUGUUCUGAUUGACCAAUUUGUCAUUUCUCAGGCCAAGAAUGGAAAUUUGAAGGAUCUGUGUUCUGGCCUUGUCAUAGGUAAAGGAGGGCAUCUGUUUCUUAUCUAAGUUUUGUGGGGACAUGUGUUUCUUUGCAGUAAGCCGUUUCACAGAACACAAACUAUGGGAGGAUUUAUUAACUUAUACUGUAUUCCAGGAUCACAGGGCGCUUGUGAAAUUCAACAUUGUCACCAGCAAUGAGAGAGUGCAGAAUAGCAGUUGGUGUCAGAGCACCAAGGACUAAAUGGAGAGUCUGGAGGGACAAUCAGAGCUUAGUGAAGGGGAGUCCCAGAACAGAUGGCAUGCUGAGCUCAGCCAGGCAGGCAGGCCUGCAAAACGUCUGCAUAAGGAAUAUUUAUCCCCAGCAGCAGGAGCUGAGGCAUGGGCUGGAAUUCAGAGACAAGACUUCAUUCCUCAGAGGUAAAAUGCUGAGAAUAAAUGGGCCCCAAAUCUCAAAGCUUAUAAGGUGAGUCUUGGUUUUGGGAACCCAGCAUUUCCAUUUAGAGUAACCAAGACGUCACCGAGAGCUGAAUUAACACAUUGGAGAUAUGUGGGAGAGCACUGAAAAUAACUCUUCUUCCCACCAGUGGAUGAAAUUGAUCCUAGACUCUGGAUCGUCAGUGUGGUCCAGCUCUUGUGGAAUGAGGGGAUGUGAAAAAAAAAAGGACAGAUGUUGGCACAUGGUAUCUUUAAAAAAGGGUCUCUUCUUAAAGAAAACCAAUUUAUUUUCAGCCUGAAUAAUAGCAUAGUACAUCAUGAACCUCUAUUAUUUCCAUACUAUAUUCUUUGGAAUUUCUUUUUGUUUUAUAGGUCAACAUCCUGAGUCUCAUAUGGGGAAAGCAUAGUUAAAUUUAGGAAGGAAAUAUAAUAUAAAUAGCUGUAUUAAAGGAUUGUAAGGCCUGAAAAAUUACAUGUCAAAAUUGGAAAUGUAAAAGUUAGGUUCUUUUAGGUUUCUCUCCUCUGGAAUUUCUUUUCUAUUUAUUUUGUGUUGAUAACAUUAAUGUUGAAUAUUGAAUUAUUUUUAUUCCACAUAUGGAGUAUAAUCUAUAUGCAAGAGGGAGACUUUUAUAAAUGAAUUGCAGAUGGUUUACCAUUUACUUGCCUUAAGUUACUUUAAAAUUGAAAAAAUAUCCAAGAAGUGCUGAUAAUAUAUAAAUAUAAAGGCUGUCCUCUUUUUCAAAACAAGAAAAAUCUUGUUUUGUUUUGUUAAUUCACAAGAAUAUUUGUAAAAAUUUUAUGUGUGUGAAGAAAACAUAUUAUUUUCCCAACCUCCUGUAACAGUUCCCAAAGAUGAAUUUAAAUGUUGCAAUACCCCAGAACUGCUCUCUAUAUCUGGUCUAGUAAGUCCUGAGUUACGUUAUUUAAAUUUGAAAUGUUUAUACAGGACGCGGAAUGGUAUUUCACAAGAUUGCUCUGCUGAAUGCUGUCUCAUAUCACUUAGUUGUAAUUAUAGUAUAACCCUUAUCCUGGUAUGCCAUGUAUGUGUAUGUGUGUGUGUGUAUUUGUGUGUGUGUGUGUGUGUGUGUGUGUGUGUGCCUAUAGAUGUUUCUACUUUUUACAUCAGGGUUAGAUGCCUUAGGGGAUAAUAGUUGUAGCCUGUACCUCUUUGACUACCCUAUAGUUCUUAAAAAUGGCGUCUCAUACAUGAUCAGCAUUCAAUAUAUAUUUGGCAAUUUAAAACCUAAAUCUUAAAGUGAAGUGUCAUCCUUUUAAAUCCUUAUGCAUUCCAGCCAAUUUCUAAAACUACAGAAUGCAAUACUUAGAAUGUGUCUAGACACGUGCAUGGACGUCAAAGAGAUGCUUAAUGAAGGGCUGUCUCUUUAGACCAUGAGCACAGUCUACUCUCUGACCUCUCUUCCCCCUGGUCUCAGUCUCCAUGUACUUCCCACAAGAUGCAGUCCAAAGAGCUUCCCUAGAGUAGAGGUCUGACCUCUGUCAAAUUGGCUAUUAUCUCCCACUUUCUCCCCCAUGUGCCCAAUGCUUCAGUCAUCCUUAGCCACAGGCAGUUGCUCAAAUGAGCCGCACUUUUUAAGUCUCGGUGCCUCUGUACACACUGUUCCCUCUUCCUGUUGUGCCUCAACUCAUUGUCCCGGUGAAUUUCUACCCAACACUGGGCAUUUUCUCCGACUUUCCCAGGUAAAGUUGGCCAUUGUCACCCUUGCAACCUUGCUAGACCUUGUAUUUACCUCCGUUUCACAUCAGUUCUUCCAUGAUGAAUUUAUCUGUUCCUGUUCCUGUCUACUCCAACACACAAGAACUAUUUGAGGGGAGGGAUCCAUUCUUAUUCCAGUUUGUAUUCCCCGUGUUUUUGCUUUCACAAUGCCCUGCUGAUAGAUUAUCAAUGUGUGGCCACUAAAUUAAUUAAUGAAUCCGAAGCUUAUUUUCAAAAAUCUUUUUCUAUGGAAUAACGGGUAGAGUUUAGUAUAAAUCCAUGCAUUUGGACACUAUUCCUAAAUAUAAUCAUAUCUCUGUAGAUAUAAAUAGUAUAAAUUUUCUACUUGUAGUUGUUAAAAAUGUAAAUUUAAAAAAUACAGCAUUAAUCAUUGUAAUACUACUAACAUGAUUUUAAUUCAUCUACUUCGGUCAAUCAUUUUUUGUUUGUUUGUUUGUUUCGUUUUUUUGAGAUGGCGUCUCCCUCUGUUGCCCAGGCUGGAAUGCAAUGACACGAUCUUGGCUCACUGCAGCCUCUGCCUCCAGGGUUCAAGCAAUUUUCCUGCCUUGGCCUCCCGAGUACCUGGGAGUACAGGUGCGCACUAGCACGCCCGACUAAUUUUUGUAUUUUUAGUGGAGAUGGGGUUUCACCAUAUUGGUCAGGCUGGUCUCAAACUCCUGACCUCAGGUGAUCCACUUGCCUUGGCUUCCCAAAGUGCUGGGAUUACAGGCGUGAGCCACUGCGCCCGACCCUGAAAUUUUCUUUACCAUGUGCUGAAGCUUAAUCAAAUGAAACAAACUUUUAAAAGUUUAUGGAAGUUAAAAAAGGUAAUCAUUGCAUACUUUUUAAGUAUCAGAUUAUGGUAUACAUACUGUAGACAUGGUACUUCAUGGUAAUGAACAGUCAUUUAUUAUAAAACAUGAGUUUAUAAAGUACAUAUAUCAGUAUUAUUUUUAUAUAACUAUUCUGUCUAAUCAUUGAGGUAUAUUCCAGAGUAUAUUGGGGUAUAUGAAAAAAUAUAGCAAAUUAAAAUAGGGUAUUUUGCAUUUACAUAUGAGCCUGCAAAUCGAAAAUUGGUAAGUUAGUAAGUAAGAUAAUUAGAAGCAUAAAGAAGAGAAUAUUUCUCUUUGGAAGGAUCAGAGAAGUUUGCACAAAGAAGGGUAUUUUUAAUUUAGGCCUUUGAUGGUAAUUAAUACUUUCCCAGGAGGAAUUCACCGCUUUUUGUAGAAAAGUGGCCUGAAGUUGCUAUAUCUGUCUGGAACUGUAGCGUCCAGGUCAGAGAGGACAUAGUCCCACAUACAUAAGGGUAGAUGAGUGUAGAAAGGCAGAGAGAAAUCAAUGCUUUGAGAAUCUUGUAACAAAAAAUAUAGCAAUUAUUUUGAGUCUUUCCUUGUUCAGUCUAAAGUAAAAUGUUAUUUUUAUUUUGUAAUUCGAUCAUCUCCUUUGUUUUACUGAUAAGAGUUUUUAAAGAAGUAAUUAGGGGAUUACAAAAAAAGUGCUUGCCAAAGAAGAUGGUAAAACAAGGGUCAGUAUCCAUAAAAUGAAUAUAAAUCUGUGCAGCUUCAUCUUAGUGUAGCAUUGUAAUUAUUUUUCAUAAUGUGCAUAAAAGUUUGUGAUUUCUUAGAGCAAGUAUUACUAUAUAUAACCUUUAAGCAUUUCCUCUACUUUUAUACCUAUAUUGUUUUUUUUCACAAUUCAUAGCCAUAAUGUAUUAUCAUAUGAAAUAAAAUUUUGUACAGAUUUCUUUUAGAAGCAAGAUUUUUGGAUCUUUCAUGUAAAUACGUAUCCUUCCUCCCUGAUUUUUUAAAGAUCUUAAUUGUAUUAUUUUGCCUAGGUAUUGGAUGAAUUUGCACAAAAAUGCAAUCACAUUGUUUGAUCUUAUGUUCCCCCUUUGGCAUUUCUUGCCAGUAUUCAGACCUCAUAAUAAUUUUUAAAAAUUAGGUUGGCAUGGGAACAACUGCACAACCAUAAAACUCAUAAGAAUUGGCAGGAGAAUCAGGAGCUUGGAUGAUAUUUUGGCAAUUGCUUUUACAAUUGAAGAGGAAACUUCAAAUAAAUAGACUAUUCCAGUAUUUUGAGUAUCAAGAAGGCUUAUUUUAAAAUCCUCUUCUAUUUAGAAUUAAGCCAUGACUGUUCAUGGCUGGAAUAGCUGCCCUGGCAUUGCAAACAUGAUCUGUCUUGAUUAGGACUGCUGGUCUUCAGAACUGGAACUGAGUUUUGUCCCAUCACUGGGUUGCAAUGAUCCAUUUUAAUAAUUAAGGCUUGUGGCCUCAAUUCCCACAAUAUGAAAUUCUUCCUUGCCAAGGUUAAUUUACUCCUCAAAGAUAAACACAUUCUUUUUUUCUCUCCAUCCUUGUAAUAUUGAAAGAAGAUUUACUUUUAAAAUAUUGGAGCAGGCUCACUACUUUUCAAAUUGAAAUCAAAGCUGUCACUGUCCACUUCAUGGAUGACUACAAUAGUCUUCUAACUGGUCUUCUGCUCUUAAAGGUACAGGCCCCCUCUACCUCAUUCGUUCGCCACAUCACAGCCGGAGUUGUCAUUCUAAAAUACAAAUUUAAUGAAGAAUUUUCCAUACUUAAAUCUGAUAAUGGAUUACCAGGCAUAAAUUGUAAUUUUACUAGCAAGGCUGCCAGGCCAUUUGCAAUCUGCCCCGCCCACCUGUCCAAUGUUCCCUCUUUCUUCCUCUUGCCCAACCCACCCUUCCCUCUUUUGUAGACUACCUUCAGCACUCCAGCGUUCACUUUGUUAACAUCGCUUCAUUCUUCCAUUCUUACCUGAAAUACGUUUUCUUCCGGAAAGCCUUGUCUGACCCUCAGUCUGGGAUUGAUGUUGUUUCAGUGUACUUACGGUAAUGUUAUGCUUAUCGCAUUAUGUUUCCUAUUUAUUCCUGAUUUCCACACAUUAGGGAGAAAGUAUAAGGGUAGGUGCCUUGUUCACCCUUUUUCCUGGUGUCAUACUUAUCACUUAGAAGGUACUUAGUAAAUAUUGACUAAAUUGAUGGGAUAAAAAAUGUGAAAAGCAUGAGAUUAUUAAGACACCCAGGUUCUUGCUAUCAACUAACUGAAAAGGCUUGAUCAAAUUGUAAUAAUUUCCCUGAACCUAUCUCCAUUUCCUCAACUGUAAAAUGAAUAUGUCUGAACUAUGUAAAUUCUAUAUCUCAUCUGGUCUAAUAGUCUAGGAUUCUAGUCUAUGAUUAAACCAAAAAAUUACUGAGUACUGUGUUUUCCAACAAAGUAUUGCAUAUAAGAUACAAUGCAAGAGAUAUGAAAGAAAGAAAUUGAUAAUAUAGUUGGGGAAAGAAGGCCUGAAUAUGAAAAGCAAAAAUAAAAUGCAUAAAUCUUUAUAAAAUACAUCAGCCUUUCUAUUUAUCAAGGAAAAAGAACUGAAGAAUGGUAGCACUGGUUGUUUUAUUUUGAGGCAUGCUCCUGGAAAAAACUUAGGAUGCUACAUAAAGCUAGAAAAUAUCUUAAAAUGAGAAGGUAGUGUGAAAAAUGAUAUCAGUGUCAUGACGGUGAGCCCUUUAUAACAGCAGAAGAGCAUUAAAGCUUCACAAAAUGGGAUUUUCCAGUUACAGAGCAGUACCAGAGUGCCAUUGGGUGACAAAUAUCUGCAAGUAAGUUUUGUUGGUAACAUUUUUAGGUCAGUUUACUUACACUAUACAUAUAGACCUUGACUUACUAUGACUCACAUUGAAAGCUCACUGUUUCCAAAUAAUAAUAAUAAGAAUCUUUUCUAUGGCGUAACAUUAAGAGCAGUAUGUCACAUUUGUGCAUUUUGGUUUUCAGUGGACUGAAAGCUUAGUUUUUCCAGACCUCCUGAAUCUCAUGAUACGUCAAAAGGUGAAACUGAACCAACAGGAACUGUUACUGAUAUUCACAACUAAGUUUAUUUAUGAGAGUUUGAUUUUUUUAGUAGUAUACAAAGUCAACAGGAAAAUUUGGAAAGCAUUUACAGUUGGCCUUAAUUGUUAAAUUAGAUAACAUCAAUAAGGCAUCUAACAUGGAAAGAAGCUCAUGCUAGGCAUUCAGUUAAUGUGAUUUCCCAUUCUUUUUAUUCACUGUCUUCUUGGUCUAGACAUUGGGCUAUUAAAAUAUAUACAUCUUCAACCCUCGAUCAUUUGUGCUUAUCCUUUCCCAUGUAAAAUUUUUGUACCCGGAAAGAUGACCUACAAAAAGCAAAACAUUUCAGCUCACAGGAAAUAAGAUAUUUGAAUUCACCUUCUACUACGUAUGAUAGAAGAUAAUUUUCUAGAAUAAAGGGAAAAUGAAAAGCAAUCUUAUCAGAGUCGCACUGUUUCUAAGUCUUGAAUACCCUUGUUUCCCAUUUUGCUUGUCUAAAUUCCUGUCAUACUUUAUGAUCCUAUUCAACAUAGCACAAUUCCCAUCAAGCCUUUCUUGACUUCACUACUUGGAAAAAAUAGAUUUUUUUCUUCAUACCCAUUGCAGAUUAUCUUUGAAUAUUGCAGGGUUUGGGGUUGAGUAUGUCCAUGAUAUGAUAGAGUUGGAGGGGUGGGGGGAUGUCUGGAAUUAUUUUAUCAAACCUCCAAAUUUUAAAGAUGAGAAUACGGUGCCAAAUAAGUUAGUAAUUUAGUCAUUGUCUAUUUUUAUAUGGAAUUUCUGAAAUUUUUGUUUUACAUUUAUGUUGUAUCCCUACACAUCAAUAUAUCUUUCACUUCCAUACUAUCUGGUUUGAAAGGCUCUUCAAAAUGUCUGCAUAUCUAUUUUUUUUUUUUUUUUGGUAACUGCCAAAAAGAAAGCCCAUGUUUGGUCAUGAGUUUUGUUUUUGUUUAUAUUUUUCCAGAACAUACUUCUGUCUUCUGCCUUCAUAUUGGCACUGUUUUCAAAACCAUGCUUUUUGAACUUUAUGAUGUCUUCUUGGUUGAUAUAAUUUCCACUCAUUUGUCCUGCCAGCCCUCUGUGGUUCAGGACCCAAAGCCUCACUUGAGAGUGGCUGUAGUGAAGUAUUUCUUGAUUACUCCAGCAUGAGAUCGUCUCUAACUCUUUAUGCAUUUCUUUUCUGUUUCUUAAAUUCCCCUAUUAUUAUAUAUGCAUAGAAUCAUUCAUUAGCUCUUUCAUGCAGUUAUGUCUUACUUCAACAACUAGACUACUAUAAGCAUCUUAUGGGUGGGUUUUUUGCCUAGCACUAUUGCCUCAUGUGUGUUCAGUGGAUGCUCAAUGAGUCUUCUUGGUACUUGGAAGGACAUCUGCUAUAUGACACAUUUUAUAGCCUUUGAUGUUCCAUUGAGAAGCUUUCCAGAAUAUGUUAAGAAUCGUGUACCUAGAACCAAUAUACUAGCUGUGCCUAAAAGAAAUGUCAUUUGUUGUAGCUUAUUAGAAGAAAUUGGAAAGAGCUCGGAGGAAUAGCAGAAGUAUUGGUAAUUGUGAUGAGGGUGAAUUUUUCUGGACAAUGCUGGUUUUUUAAAACUAUAAAAUAUAACUUCAAAUUAGCCUUUGAAAAGAUGGCUCACCAUAACCAAAGAAGGGUAAGAUGGAAUUGCAUCAUACAUUGAGUGCGAAUACUAAUUAACUGGUUUAUGUUUUCAUUACAAAAUCAUUGUGGCAACGCAAAGAAAAAAUGAAGAAGUGGUUAUUUCAAAGCAUUUAUCGGUUGGCUCACUUAUCCAAUGUGUUCAGAUAAAUGAAAUCUGACAGGAUUCCCAGCAGGGCUGCUGUCAUGGCGUUGAUGCUUUUGAUUAGAUACCAAAGAAGGCCAUCUUCAGAGGCUGUUAUUUGGAUUAAUUCCCAGGGCUGAUAGCUACCACCACAGUACCUUUAAAAAGAAAUACUGUUACAAGGUAUUCAUAUGCAAAUAGGACAGUGAUUUAAUGUUGUAAAAGUUUGAGAGAUUUGGGAAAAUCAACAAAAUGGUCCUUUGAAAAUUUUGUGAUUAUCUAGUAGAAAUAAAAGAGAUAACAGCUUUGUGAAGUAGACCAAAAGCAGGGGCGAUGGGCUGAGCAUGUCAAUUCAUUUUCUCAGGGGGCAUAAUGGAACCUUUAUAAAAGUCCCUAUCUAUUACAUCACAAAACACGAUUUCUACACCUUAAUACCAGAUUGCUAACAUUAUCACUGUAGGGACUGUAACGUCUGGUAAAUUGAAAAUAAAAGAUAAGCUUUUCUUUUUUUAGUCUGAAAGUUAAUGCCACUUUAAAAGAAACAUCUUUGAUAAUGAGCUUACAUUUAAAAAUGAAGAGUUGUAUGGGAUCUAGCACCAUUUCAGGAUUGUGGAGCAGAGAUAAGCAAACUGAUGGCUGCAGACCAAAUCUGACCACACCAGUUUUUGUGAAUAAGUUUUUGAUUGGAAUGAAGCUAUUCAUUUGCUUAUAUAUUGUUUAUGGCUGUUUUUAAUCUAUAAGGGCUAAGUUUGAGCAGUUGCAAUAAAGACCAUAUGGCUUGUGAAACCUAAAA
Long non-coding RNA from Pan troglodytes (chimpanzee), 9506 nucleotides. RefSeq lists it as uncharacterized. The transcript is spliced from 2 exons. The record is from RefSeq and is a predicted model, not a curated record. Lineage: Eukaryota; Metazoa; Chordata; Mammalia; Primates; Hominidae.